CAUGUUGUGAUUAUCUUAGUGGAAUGG
This 27-nucleotide non-coding RNA is filed under the name Cricetulus griseus (Chinese hamster). Lineage: Eukaryota; Metazoa; Chordata; Mammalia; Rodentia; Cricetidae. The record is from RNAcentral.